This 69-nucleotide transfer RNA is filed under the name Phormosoma bursarium. Its description in RNAcentral is "tRNA-Pro". The record is from RNAcentral. Lineage: Eukaryota; Metazoa; Echinodermata; Echinoidea; Echinothurioida; Phormosomatidae.
CAGAAAAUAGUUUAACAAGAAUUGCAGCUUUGGGAGUUGCGGGCAUAGGUGAGGGUCCUAUUUUUCUGA